RNAcentral lists this ribosomal RNA (484 nucleotides) under uncultured bacterium. RNAcentral's name for it is "partial 16S ribosomal RNA". It matches the Rfam family "Bacterial small subunit ribosomal RNA", at positions 29 to 523 of the family's 1533-position model. The record is from RNAcentral.
AAUGAACGUUGGCGGCGUGGAUUAGGCAUGCAAGUCGUACGGGUCGGUGUAGCAAUACAACGGCAAGUGGCGAAAGGGAGAGUAACACGUAGAUACCUACCCUCUGGUCGGGGAUACCGCGGCAUAACCGCAAGUAAUACCCGAUAAAAUCUCCGGAUCAAAGGUGUGAUUCCGCCGGAGGAGGGGUCUGCGUUCUAUCAGCUUGUUGGUGAGGUAAUGGCUCACCAAGGCUAAGACGGAUACGGGGUGUGAGAGCAUGCCCCCGCUCACUGGGACUGAGACACUGCCCAGACACCUACGGGUGGCUGCAGUCGAGAAUCUUCGGCAAUGGGCGCAAGCCUGACCGAGCGACGCCGCGUGCGGGAUGAAGGCCUUCGGGUUGUAAACCGCUGUCGAGGGGAAUGAAGUGUAGGUGGGUACUCCCAUCUAUUUGACAGAUCCCUGGAGGAAGCAUGGGCUAAGUUCGUGCCAGCAGCCGCCGUAA